This 496-nucleotide ribosomal RNA is filed under the name uncultured bacterium. RNAcentral's name for it is "partial 16S ribosomal RNA". It matches the Rfam family "Bacterial small subunit ribosomal RNA", at positions 28 to 506 of the family's 1533-position model. The record is from RNAcentral.
GACGAACGCUGGCGGCGUGCCUAAUACAUGCAAGUAGAACGCUGAAGAGAGGAGCUUACUCUUCUUGGAUGAGUUGCGAACGGGUGAGUAACGCGUAGGUAACCUGCCUUGUAGCGGGGGAUAACUAUUGGAAACGAUAGCUAAUACCGCAUAACAAUGGAUGACACAUGUCAUUUAUUUGAAAGGGGCAAUUGCUCCACUACAAGAUGGACCUGCGUUGUAUUAGCUAGUAGGUGAGGUAAUGGCUCACCUAGGCGACGAUACAUAGCCGACCUGAGAGGGUGAUCGGCCACACUGGGACUGAGACACGGCCCAGGCUCCUACGGGAGGCAGCAGUAGGGAAUCUUCGGCAAUGGGGGCAAACCUGACCGAGCAACGCCGCGUGAGUGAAGAAGGUUUUCGGAUCGUAAAGCUCUGUUGUAAGUCAAGAACGGGUGUGAGAGUGGAAAGUUCACACUGUGACGGUAGCUUACCAGAAAGGGACGGCUAACUACGU